GACGAAGGUGGCGAGCGUUACUCGGAAUUACUAGGCGUAAAGCGUGAGCAGGCGGUUCGGUAAGUCUGUUGUGAAAGCCCUGGGCUCAACCCAGGGAUGCCAAUGGAUACUGCCGGACUUGAAUACGGGAGAGGUUACUGGAAUUCCUGGUGUAGCGGUGAAAUGCGUAGAUAUCAGGAGGAACACCGAAGGCGAAAGCAGGUAACUGGACCGUGAUUGACGCUGAGUCACGAAAGCCGGGGGAGCAAACAGG
Molecule: ribosomal RNA, 253 nt
Filed under: uncultured bacterium
Lineage: Bacteria
Description: partial 16S ribosomal RNA
Rfam family: Bacterial small subunit ribosomal RNA
Source: RNAcentral